CUCAGAACGAACGCUGGUGGCGUGCUUAACACAUGCAAGUCGAACGAGAAAGUUUCCUUCGGGAAAUUAGUAAAGUGGCGCAAGGGUGAGUAUCACGUGAAUAAUCUGCCCUCGAGAUCGGGAUAACAUGGUGAAAACUAUGCUAAUACCGGAUAAGACCACAUUUCAUAAGAAAUGCGGUAAAAGGAGUCUCAAUCUUCACUUGAGGAUGAGUUCGCGCAACAUUAGCUUGUUGGUGAGAUAAAAGCUCACCAAGGCUACGAUGUUUAGCCGGCCUGAGAGGGUGAACGGCCACACUGGAACUGAGACACGGUCCAGACUCCUACGGGAGGCAGCAGUGGGGAAUAUUGCGCAAUGGGCGAAAGCCUGACGCAGCAACGCCGUGUGAGCGAUGAAGGCUUUAGAGUCGUAAAGCUCUGUCAAAUGGGAAGAAUUUUGACGGUACCAUUAGAGGAAGCCCCGGCUAACUCCGUGCCAGCAGCCGCGGUAAUACGGAGGGGGCAAGCGUUGUUCGGAAUUAUUGGGCGUAAAGCGUAUGUAGGCGGCUAGGUAAGUCAGGCGUGCAAGCCCGUGGCUCAACCACGGAAUUGCGUUUGAAACUGCUUAGCUUGAGUACAGGAGAGGAAAGCGGAAUUCCCAGUGUAGCGGUGAAAUGCAUUGAUAUUGGGAAGAACAUCUGUGGCGAAGGCGGCUUUCUGGUCUGUUACUGACGCUGAGAUACGAAAGCCAGGGGAGCGAACGGGAUUAGAUACCCCGGUAGUCCUGGCUGUAAACGAUGGGCACUAGGUGCAGGAGGUAUCGAUCCCCUCUGUGCCGUAGCUAACGCGUUAAGUGCCCCGCCUGGGGAGUACGGUCGCAAGGCUGAAACU
This 869-nucleotide ribosomal RNA is filed under the name uncultured Desulfobacterales bacterium. RNAcentral describes it as "SSU rRNA". It matches the Rfam family "Bacterial small subunit ribosomal RNA", at positions 23 to 901 of the family's 1533-position model. The record is from RNAcentral. Lineage: Bacteria; Pseudomonadati; Thermodesulfobacteriota; Desulfobacteria; Desulfobacterales.